GGAUAGCUCAGUUGGUUAGAGCAUGGUGCUGAUAAUGGCAAGAUUGCAGGUUCAAUCCCAGUAUGAGGCA
Non-coding RNA from Podarcis lilfordi (Lilford's wall lizard), 70 nucleotides. The record is from the annotation of a GenBank genome assembly. NCBI's taxonomy places the organism in Eukaryota, Metazoa, Chordata, Lepidosauria, Squamata, Lacertidae.